Molecule: transfer RNA, 72 nt
Filed under: Ovis aries (sheep)
Lineage: Eukaryota; Metazoa; Chordata; Mammalia; Artiodactyla; Bovidae
Rfam family: tRNA
About the family: Transfer RNA (tRNA) molecules are approximately 80 nucleotides in length.
Source: Rfam by way of RNAcentral
UCCCUGAUAGCUCAGUUGGUAAAGAAUCCGUUUGCAAUGCAGGAGACCCUGGUUCAAUCCCUGGUUUGGGAA